This 558-nucleotide ribosomal RNA is filed under the name Leptophyes punctatissima. RNAcentral's name for it is "SSU rRNA". It matches the Rfam family "Eukaryotic small subunit ribosomal RNA", at positions 720 to 1164 of the family's 1831-position model. The record is from RNAcentral. Lineage: Eukaryota; Metazoa; Arthropoda; Insecta; Orthoptera; Tettigoniidae.
AUGAUUCGUGGGACGUCCUGCCGGUGGUGGCGAGUCGAAGGCGAGCUCCCGUCGUGGUUCCCACUUCGGUUCUUGCUCGCCCGAGGCGGACCCCGAUGAAAUCCUACCGCGGUGCUCUUCACCGAGUGUCGAGGUGGGCCGGCACGUUUACUUUGAACAAAUUAGAGUGCUUAAAGCAGGCCUGUUGCGCCUGAAUACUGUGUGCAUGGAAUAAUGGAAUAGGACCUCGGUUCUAUUUUGUUGGUUUUCGGAACCCGAGGUAAUGAUUAAUAGGGACAGGCGGGGGCAUUCGUAUUGCGACGUUAGAGGUGAAAUUCUUGGAUCGUCGCAAGACGGACCGAAGCGAAAGCAUUUGCCAAGUAUGUUUUCAUUAAUCAAGAACGAAAGUUAGAGGUUCGAAGGCGAUCAGAUACCGCCCUAGUUCUAACCAUAAACGAUGCCAGCUAGCGAUCCGCCGAAGUUCCUCCGAUGACUCGGCGGGCAGCUCCCGGGAACCAAAGCUUUUGGGUUCCGGGGGAAGUAUGGUUGCAAGGUGAACUUAAGGAAUUGACGGAGGGC